RNAcentral lists this ribosomal RNA (301 nucleotides) under uncultured bacterium. Its description in RNAcentral is "partial 16S ribosomal RNA". It matches the Rfam family "Bacterial small subunit ribosomal RNA", at positions 509 to 809 of the family's 1533-position model. The record is from RNAcentral.
CAGUCGCCGCGGGAAUACGAAGGGGGCUAGCGUUGUUCGGAAUUACUGGGCGUAAAGCGUGCGUAGGCGGCUUCUUAAGUCGGAUGUGAAAUCCCUGAGCUUAACUUAGGAAUUGCAUUCGAUACUGGGAAGCUAGAGUAUGGGAGAGGAUGGUAGAAUUCCAGGUGUAGCGGUGAAAUGCGUAGAGAUCUGGAGGAAUACCGAUGGCGAAGGCAGCCAUCUGGCCUAAUACUGACGCUGAGGUACGAAAGCAUGGGGAGCAAACAGGAUUAGAUACCCGCGUAGUCCCUGUCUCUUAUAA